GACGAACGCUGGCGGCGUGCUUAACACAUGCAAGUCGAACGCUGAAGCUUGGUGCUUGCACUGGGUGGAUGAGUGGCGAACGGGUGAGUAAUACGUGAGUAACCUGCCCUUGACUCUGGGAUAAGCCUGGGAAACUGGGUCUAAUACUGGAUACGACAUGUCACCGCAUGGUGGUGUGUGGAAAGGGAUUUACUGGUUUUGGAUGGGCUCACGGCCUAUCAGCUUGUUGGUGGGGUAAUGGCUCACCAAGGCGACGACGGGUAGCCGGCCUGAGAGGGUGACCGGCAACUCUGUGACUGAGACACAGCGCAGACUCCAACGGGAGGCAGCAGUGGGAAAUAUUGCACAAUAGGCGAAAGCCUGAUGCAGCGACGCCGCGAAAGGGAUGACGGCCUUCGGGUUGUAAACCUCUUUCAACACGGAAAAAGCGAAAGUGACGGUACGUACUGAAGAGGCGCCGGCUAACUACGUG
Molecule: ribosomal RNA, 472 nt
Filed under: uncultured bacterium
Lineage: Bacteria
Description: partial 16S ribosomal RNA
Rfam family: Bacterial small subunit ribosomal RNA
Source: RNAcentral